This 177-nucleotide non-coding RNA is filed under the name human gut metagenome. The record is from RNAcentral.
GUGCCGUUCGGGUACGGUCGGUGAAAAGGGAAUCGGGUGUAAAUCCCGUGCGGUUAACAGUCGCCGUAUGUAUCCGAAUGUUUUUAUUGUUGACGAAAGUCAGUCAUUGGGAAACCGAGAAGGCAUAGUAAAAAAACAGGGCAACCUGUAGGAUACGAGCCGGAAGACCUGCUUUGA